AACACCACAAAUACACACAUAAAAUCUGUUUCUUUCUCUCUCUCAUUUCAUCUGCUCUCCUCUCUUUCCAGCCACCAACCAGUGCCACCCCCUUUCACUCUUUCCCACCGCCGGCGACCACCAUCCCAAGUUGCAAACUCCUUAUUAAUUCACUUUCUUCGCUAUCUCACUGGAGUUGAUGGCCGGUGAGUUUCAACCACCAACAAAAACCAUCUGCCGCCCCAGCUUCCUCUCUUUCUGUCGUCUACCGCCGCUGCCUGGCCGGAGAUUUGGCCGGAAACCAUGACCAUGUUACCGGAAAAACUUAAAACCCGGUGAAAGCUUCUUCUUUUCGCUUUACCAUUAUUUUGCAUGUUUUGUGGAAAUAAAUUUGAAGUGUCGCCAUUUUUAUUUUGGACUAUUUUUACAUUAUUUUAUUAAUUUUGGGUUGAUUUUGCUUGAAUUUCUCUUCGAUAAUCUAUGUAUGUUUGUUUUCAUGGCUGCUUGAUCUUUUUCGUGAUUUUUUUUUGGACA
Capsicum annuum is the source of this 513-nucleotide long non-coding RNA. RefSeq lists it as uncharacterized. The record is from RefSeq and is a predicted model, not a curated record. The transcript has 2 exons. NCBI's taxonomy places the organism in Eukaryota, Viridiplantae, Streptophyta, Magnoliopsida, Solanales, Solanaceae.